RNAcentral lists this ribosomal RNA (287 nucleotides) under uncultured bacterium. RNAcentral describes it as "partial 16S ribosomal RNA". It matches the Rfam family "Bacterial small subunit ribosomal RNA", at positions 773 to 1060 of the family's 1533-position model. The record is from RNAcentral.
GUGGAUUAGAUACCCGGGUAGUCCACGCCCUAAACGAUGUCUACUAGUUGUUGGGGAUUUCGAUCCUUAGUAACGCAGCUAACGCGUGAAGUAGACCGCCUGGGUAGUACGGUCGCAAGAUUAAAACUCAAAGGAAUUGACGGGGGCCCGCACAAGCGGUGGAUGAUGUGGAUUAAUUCGAUGCAACGCGAAAAACCUUACCUGGUCUUGACAUGUACGGAACCCUUUAGAGAUAGAGGGGUGCCUUCGGGAGCCGUAACACAGGUGCUGCACGGCCGUCGCCAGCU